RNAcentral lists this ribosomal RNA (406 nucleotides) under uncultured bacterium. Its description in RNAcentral is "bacterial SSU rRNA". It matches the Rfam family "Bacterial small subunit ribosomal RNA", at positions 355 to 776 of the family's 1533-position model. The record is from RNAcentral.
UGAGGAAUAUUGGGCAAUGGGCGAAAGCCUGACCCAGCAACGCCGCGUGAGGGAUGAAGGCCUUCGGGUUGUAAACCUCUUUUCUGGGAGAAGAGACAAGGACGGUAUCCCAGGAAUAAGUCUCGGCUAACUACGUGCCAGCAGCCGCGGUAAUACGUAGGAGGCAAGCGUUAUCCGGAUUCACUGGGCGUAAAGCGCACGCAGGCGGUCAUGUAAGUCGGACGUGAAAGCUCCUGGCUCAACUGGGAGAGGUCGUUCGAUACUGCAUGGCUUGAGGUUGGGAGAGGGAAGCGGAAUUCCCGGUGUAGUGGUGGAAUGCGUAGAUAUCGGGAGGAACACCAGUGGCGAAAGCGGCUUCCUGGCCCAUACCUGACGCUCAGGUGCGAAAGCGUGGGGAGCGAACGGG